This 411-nucleotide ribosomal RNA is filed under the name uncultured bacterium. RNAcentral's name for it is "bacterial SSU rRNA". It matches the Rfam family "Bacterial small subunit ribosomal RNA", at positions 30 to 440 of the family's 1533-position model. The record is from RNAcentral.
AUUGAACGCUGGCGGAAUGCUUUACACAUGCAAGUCGAACGGCAGCACGGGUGCUUGCACCUGGUGGCGAGUGGCGAACGGGUGAGUAAUGCACCGGAACGUAUCCAAUAAUGGGGGAUAACGCACCGAAAGGUGUGCUAAUACCGCAUACGCCCUGAGGGGGAAAGCGGGGGAUCGUAAGACCUCGCGUUAAUGGAGCGGCCGAUGCCGGAUUAGCUAGUUGGUGAGGUAAAGGCUCACCAAGGCGACGAUCCGUAGCUGGUCUGAGAGGACGACCAGCCACACUGGAACUGAGACACGGUCCAGACUCCUACGGGAGGCAGCAGUGGGGAAUUUUGGACAAUGGGCGCAAGCCUGAUCCAGCCAUUCCGCGUGAGUGAAGAAGGCCUCGGGUUGUAAGACUCUUUCGUC